UACGUAGGGAGCGAGCGUUGUCCGGAAUUACUGGGUGUAAAGGGUGCGUAAGCGGGUUGGCAAGUCAGGCGUGAAAUACCGCAGCUUAACUGCGGAGCUGCGCUUGAAACUGUCGAUCUUGAGUGAAGUAGAGGCAGGCGGAAUUCCUAGUGUAGCGGUGAAAUGCGUAGAUAUUAGGAGGAACACCAGUGGCGAAGGCGGCCUGCUGGGCUUUAACUGACGCUGAGGCACGAAAGUAUGGGGAGCAAAC
Molecule: ribosomal RNA, 250 nt
Filed under: uncultured prokaryote
Description: partial 16S ribosomal RNA
Rfam family: Bacterial small subunit ribosomal RNA
Source: RNAcentral